AGCCACACAAACACACACACAGGCACUCAUACACACACACGCACAAGCACAUGUGCAAACACCCCUAAGGGGUUUGUUGCUACUUUGGAUGUAGUCUGGGUAUUUACAGAGCAUAACCCCUUCUGGUUGUCUAGUUUUCCGAUAGAUAAGAGGAUGUUCAUUGAAACUGUAACCUCUCUCCCAAGACACUCCAUAACAGAGAAGAGCAAUCAAUGGCCACAAAGUGUAGAGUAUGAAGAAGAAACCAUUUACCACCGAGUUCAUGAGGGUUCGGAUCAGCAGUUCCUGAGAGCAUUGAGAAUAGGCUUGAAACCAGUGUCAACCUUGUGAGCUUGAGCAUGCAGAGAAGGCUUGCCAGACCAGAGAAACUCUACCGCGGGGGCCAUAAAAGCAUAAUGAGGUCCGGGACACAAGCAUAGAUGGGUAAAACCACAGGUGAAAGACAAAAGGGAGUGGUGGGGAGUGUGGUCUUACUGGCACGCACAUGAAUCCUCUGGUAAUAAAGGCAGCUGUGGCUCAGCUCCCAGCUUAUUACAGCAAGCAAGAAAGCAAAACUCAUUGCAGUGGACUCUUUAAGCUAAUAAGGGAAGCCAAAUAUAUCCAGCUCCUGUUUGUUUUUGUUUGUUUGUUUAUUGUUUUUGUUUGUUUUGUUUAAUAGGAAAUCUAGUUGUUCAAUAUUGGCUACUAUUAUUUUAAUUUUAUUUAUUUAUUUUUAAAGAUGCGGGCAGAAAAGUAGCUUCAUGGUUGUGCUUAGGCAAAAUCCUCUUUCUGGAAAGGUGGGUUGAAAUGAGGGAAAGAAUUUAGGGGUAAGGAGUCAUGGAAAGCCAGAGUUAAGAGUGCAAAAAGAACAGCUCACAUUAAACUAUAAGACUCCAGGUUUCUGCUUAGUAGUUCCCUCCUGAGAAAACCUGUCUUCUGCAGGAGGGCUGGCUCAUUCACUUCCCUGGCCUGUGCUGACGAGGAAAGAGUGUGACCUGGGGUCUGAGGUUUGAAUCUGCUCAGGCCUCCACCUUCGGGCAUUCCAUCAAACCAAGCCGAGAUGGCAAUGGUGCCAUCCUUAAGAUGAGGCUGGGGAGUACUAGGUCCCACUCCAGAGUCCGCAUGCUGCCACUGUGCUGGAAGGUUCUUCAGAAACCACAAGGGGCUGUGCUAGCUUAAGUAGUCUUCUUUGCUUCUGCCUCAGUUACCUUACUUUGCCCAAGGGUCAACCCAGGCACUACCUCAAUGUCUGCUGAGAAGUUUACCUGGGGGUGGGGCGGAAUGAAGGUGUUACCCAUGCUGAAGCUGAAUGUACAAUCUAUGCAAAUCCCUCUCUCUCUCUCCCUCUCUCUCUCUCUCUCUCCCUCUCUCUUUCCCCCUCCGUCCCUCUCCCUCAGUCUGACUCCCUCUUUUUCUUUCCCUUUUACUUACAAGCGUGUGUGUGUGUGUGUGUGUGUGUGUGUGUGUGUGUGUGUGUGUUAUUUUUUUAACCUUAUGAACAAGGACCUCUUAAGACCGAGGAGGGUUGUCACCCACCACCUGUGUAUGUCCCUCCUGUUGUCUUUGGUUCUGUUCUUGCCAAGCCCCCACACUGGGAGAAAGUGGCCUCUCUCCUCCCCUCACUUGGCUAGGAAUAUUCUCACAGCUUCAGCCUGCAGACAUCACCAGGAAGCAGGCACCCCAUCUCACCUCCCCCAUCACAGCACCGUCUUCUCCUUUCUGCAUUUUUCUCCUACCUCCCACCUUCAUCCCCACCCCUCUAAAAAGCCUUAGGUUUCUCCGUUUUGAAAUGUGGCCUUAAAAUUAUUUUUGGAAAGCUGGCAUCCUCCCCCUCUAAUUUCCCCCACCAUCACAGAAGAGAGAACAUCUUGAAGCCUGGGUGUGUGGCGGCCUCCUGAGCAAAGGGACUGCCAAUCUGUAGUCUGCAGAUGCACUAGGAAUGACUUAAAUGUCAUCUUUAAGAAAAAAUGUUCUCAUAUUUUUUCCUAUGGGCAAAAUGAAGUCUUGGCUGCUCGCGCAGUUCUGAGCACUCUCCGUGUUGCCGUGGCACUGGCUGGCACCACCAGCAGAUGUUCACUACAGCUUCAGUCUCCCCUUCCCUCGGGACCCAGUGACUUUAGGUACUUCAUUUAAGGAUGAAUCAGGAGUGUUUCUCCGUGUAUCGCUUCAUCUUUCUUGCCUGGAAAGUGACAGCAUGGAGUAUUCCCAGUGGAUAGGUCACGUUCUUGAAGGGGUGGUCCACUCUGUCCUUCAGACUCCACCUAGAAUCCCCUUCCAUCACUCCAGUGCUGAUGGAAGCCAAAGACAACCCCAGGGUUUUCAUAGGAAGUUCGCUGGUAUUGGGCAUAAUUGUCUUUAUCCAUCGAUCUUUACUUUUAAAGGAAAAAAGAGAGAGGCUCCUCAUGUCAUCUGUAGCAUUUGUCUUGAUGUUUGUUUUUAGAGGCCUGGAGAUAAGUCAUUACUGCCUCCUUCUUUGUUUUCAAAGAUAUGUGGUGAUAUAGUUUUUAAAAAUAACUAUUUUGUUAUAGAUCAUAAUAUGCAUAAAACUGUACAGAAAUAUUUUGUAAUGUAUUGAUUUUAAAAAAGAGAGAAUCUGUAAAUAAAAGUUUAAAAAAAUAAGAGAGAGUUCACAUGGCACACACUGAAAGAUGUAGAUAUUUUGCUAUUUAUUUAAAGGAGUAAGUAUUUUAAGAGAUAUUAAACUAUCUGAAAUUGACCAAUAAUGAAAGUUCUAAUCAUCUGAAGACUUGCCAUCCAGUCCCGUUCUCGCAGACAACUGUGUUACCGCCCAUAUCUGCCUCUUUCCUGUCUUUUGAUUUUAGCAGAAAACAACAACAAAAUUGUGCCUUAGCUGUAUUUCUGUCUAGGGGAAUUUGUUUCUGUCCAACAAAGCAACUUUUUUUUUUUUUUUGCAGAAAACAGUGGAUUAUUAAAUACUGUAUUAUACCAAAAACACCACAGGUGUACAUAGACGCUUUCUGCCAUACUGUGUUUUCAGAUGCAGAAUUUUAAAAUAAAAAAAAAAUGUCUCUAUG
RNAcentral lists this long non-coding RNA (3014 nucleotides) under Mus musculus (house mouse). Its description in RNAcentral is "long non-coding RNA chr7:117670563-117673577". Lineage: Eukaryota; Metazoa; Chordata; Mammalia; Rodentia; Muridae. The record is from RNAcentral.